GUUUUUGCCGAUGCUAGUUUAUUCGAGUCUUGAUAAGUACAUAGCUUGCCUAUGGAAUUUACAUUUUUUGCCCAAUCCUGUCAAUUUUUCACUCCAAAUGAAAUUCAUAUUCAGUUAUGAAGGCGAAUCAGAUUGAAAGACAAGUCUCAUAAUGCUAUAAGUUCUGCAAUUUGUUAUACUUUCAUUGGCAACUGUAUUAAUAUUUUGGAUAUCUGCCAUGG
RNAcentral lists this unclassified non-coding RNA (221 nucleotides) under Hevea brasiliensis (rubber tree). The record is from RNAcentral. Lineage: Eukaryota; Viridiplantae; Streptophyta; Magnoliopsida; Malpighiales; Euphorbiaceae.